ACGGCGAGUGAAGCGGCAACAGCUCAAAUUUGAAAUCUGGCCCUUGGGUCCGAGUUGUAAUUUGUAGAGGAUGUUUUUGGUGCGGUAUCUUCCGAGUUCCUUGGAACAGGACGCCUUAGAGGGUGAGAGCCCCGUACGGUUGAAUGCCUAGCCUUUGUAAAACUCCUUCGACGAGUCGAGUAGUUUGGGAAUGCUGCUCUAAAUGGGAGGUAAAUUUCUUCUAAAGCUAAAUACUGGCCAGAGACCGAUAGCGCACAAGUAGAGUGAUCGAAAGAUGAAAAGCACUUUGAAAAGAGGGUUAAAUAGCACGUGAAAUUGUUGAAAGGGAAGGAUUUAUGACCAGACUUUUUCUGGGCGGAUCAUCCGGUGUUCUCACCGGUGCACUUCGCUCAGUUUAGGCCAGCAUCGAUUUUCGGUGGGGGAUAAAAGCUUUAGGAAUGUGGCUCCUCCGGGAGUGUUAUAGCCUAUUGUAUAAUACCCUACUGGGGAUCGAGGUACGCGCUUCUGCAAGGAUGCUGGCGUAAUGGUUAUCAAUCACCCGU
This 542-nucleotide ribosomal RNA is filed under the name soil fungal sp. DM2-039. RNAcentral's name for it is "eukaryotic LSU rRNA". It matches the Rfam family "Eukaryotic large subunit ribosomal RNA", at positions 86 to 652 of the family's 3401-position model. The record is from RNAcentral. Lineage: Eukaryota; Fungi.